Molecule: ribosomal RNA, 460 nt
Filed under: uncultured bacterium
Lineage: Bacteria
Description: partial 16S ribosomal RNA
Rfam family: Bacterial small subunit ribosomal RNA
Source: RNAcentral
CCUACGGGAGGCAGCAGAGAGGAAUAUUGGUCAAUGGACGAGAGUCUGAACCAGCCAAGUAGCGUGAAGGAUGACUGCCCUAUGGGUUGUAAACUUCUUUUAUAUAGGAAUAAAACGUUCCACGUGUGGGAUUUUGUAUGUACCAUAUGAAUAAGGAUCGGCUAACUCCGUGCCAGCAGCAGCGGUAAUACGGAGGAUCCGAGCGUUAUCCGGAUUUAUUGGGUUUAAAGGGAGCGUAGGUGGAUUGUUAAGUCAGUUGUGAAAGUUUGCGGCUCAACCGUAAAAUUGCAGUUGAAACUGGCAGUCUUGAGUACAGUAGAGGUGGGCGGAAUUCGUGGUGUAGCGGUGAAAUGCUUAGAUAUCACGAAGAACUCCGAUUGCGAAGGCAGUUCACUGGACUGCAACUGACACUGAGGCUCGAAAGUGUGGGUAUCAAACAGGAUUAGAUACCCCUGUAGUC